AUUGAACGCUGGCGGCAGGCCUAACACCUGCAAGUCGAACGAGUGGCGGACGGGUGAGUAAUGUCUGGGAAACUGCCUGAUGGAGGGGGAUAACUACUGGAAACGGUCGCUAAUACCGCAUACCAUCGGAUGUGCCCAGAUGGGCUUAGCUAGUAGGUGGGGUAACGGCUCACCUCGGCGACGAUCCCUAGCUGGUCUGAGAGGAUGACCAGCCACACUGGAACUGAGAAACGGGCCAGACUCCUACGGGAGGAAGCAGUGGGAAAUAUUGCACAAUGGGCGAAAGCCUGAUGCAGACAUGCCGCGUGUAUGAAGAAGGCCUUCGGUUUGUAAAGUACUUUCAGCGGGGAGGCGUUACCCGCAGAAGAAGCACCGGCUAACUCCGGGCCAGCAGCCGCGGUAAUUC
Molecule: ribosomal RNA, 406 nt
Filed under: uncultured bacterium
Lineage: Bacteria
Description: partial 16S ribosomal RNA
Rfam family: Bacterial small subunit ribosomal RNA
Source: RNAcentral